UGAUGGGAGCUGUGUGUUUGUUGUGUCUCGCGGGUUUCACAGUGGACAUGGAAAGUCGACGUAUAUGUAAAGCGACUGAAAGAACGGGAAACAGGACUAAGAAUCUCCAGAU
Sinocyclocheilus grahami is the source of this 112-nucleotide long non-coding RNA. RefSeq lists it as uncharacterized. The record is from RefSeq and is a predicted model, not a curated record. The transcript is spliced from 4 exons. Lineage: Eukaryota; Metazoa; Chordata; Actinopteri; Cypriniformes; Cyprinidae.